CCUACGGGUGGCAGCAGUGGGGAAUAUUGCGCAAUGGGCGAAAGCCUGACGCAGCGACGCCGCGUGAGGGAUGAAGGUCUUCGGAUCGUUAACCUCUGUCAGCAGGGAAGCACGGUCACUGUGCUAAUCAGCAGUGAAUUGACGGUACCUGCAAAGGAAGCACCGGCUAACUCCGUGCCAGCAGCCGCGGUAAUACGGAGGGUGCGAGCGUUAAUCGGAAUUACUGGGCGUAAAGCGCUCGUAGGCGGUAUGUCAAGUCUAGGGUGAAAUCCCCGCGCUCAACGUGGGAACGGCCUUUGAAACUGGCAAACUGGAGUGUGUGAGAGGAUAGUGGAAUUCCAGGUGUAGGAGUGAAAUCCGUAGAUAUCUGGAGGAACAUCAGUGGCGAAGGCGACUAUCUGGCACAUAACUGACGCUGAGGAGCGAAAGCGUGGGUAGCAAACAGGAUUAGAUACCCGGGUAGUC
This 465-nucleotide ribosomal RNA is filed under the name uncultured bacterium. Its description in RNAcentral is "partial 16S ribosomal RNA". It matches the Rfam family "Bacterial small subunit ribosomal RNA", at positions 338 to 795 of the family's 1533-position model. The record is from RNAcentral.